Molecule: ribosomal RNA, 473 nt
Filed under: uncultured organism
Description: partial 16S ribosomal RNA
Rfam family: Bacterial small subunit ribosomal RNA
Source: RNAcentral
UACACUCCUACGGGAGGCAGCAGUGGGGAAUAUUGCACAAUGGGCGCAAGCCUGAUGCAGCCAUGCCGCGUGUAUGAAGAAGGCCUUCGGGUUGUAAAGUACUUUCAGCGGGGAGGAAGGCAAUACGGUUAAUAACCGUGUUGAUUGACGUUACCCGCAGAAGAAGCACCGGCUAACUCCGUGCCAGCAGCCGCGGUAAUACGGAGGGUGCAAGCGUUAAUCGGAAUUACUGGGCGUAAAGCGCACGCAGGCGGUCUGUCAAGUCGGAUGUGAAAUCCCCGGGCUCAACCUGGGAACUGCAUUCGAAACUGGCAGGCUUGAGUCUUGUAGAGGGGGGUAGAAUUCCAGGUGUAGCGGUGAAAUGCGUAGAGAUCUGGAGGAAUACCGGUGGCGAAGGCGGCCCCCUGGACAAAGACUGACGCUCAGGUGCGAAAGCGUGGGGAGCAAACAGGAUUAGAUACCCUUGUAGUCCC